UCGAGAAUCUUCGGCAAUGGGCGCAAGCCUGACCGAGCGACGCCGCGUGGCGGAAGAAGGCCUUCGGGUUGUAAACGCCUGUUGGGGGGGAGGAACACUGACCGAACCCCUGAGGAAGCACGGGCUAAGUUCGUGCCAGCAGCCGCGGUAAGACGAACCGUGCGAACGUUAUUCGGAAUCAUUGGGCUUAAAGCGCGCGUAGGCGGCACGCCAAGUGCCUGGGUGAAAUACGAUCGGCUCAACCGUCGUUUGGCCCGGUAUACUGGCGCGCUCGAGGGGGGUAGGGGCCGGCGGAACUUCCGGUGGAGCGGUGAAAUGUGUUGAGAUCGGAAGGAACGCCAGUGGCGAAAGCGGCCGGCUGGAUCCUACCUGACGCUGAGGCGCGAAAGCUAGGGGAGCGAACGG
Molecule: ribosomal RNA, 405 nt
Filed under: uncultured bacterium
Lineage: Bacteria
Description: bacterial SSU rRNA
Rfam family: Bacterial small subunit ribosomal RNA
Source: RNAcentral